GCCUUCGUGGUGUAGUGGUCAACACGCUGGGUAUGUAUUCCAGAUGUCCGUGGUUCCAGUCCUGGCGAAGGCG
This 73-nucleotide transfer RNA is filed under the name Stegodyphus mimosarum. It matches the Rfam family "tRNA". From Rfam's summary of the family: Transfer RNA (tRNA) molecules are approximately 80 nucleotides in length. Their secondary structure includes four short double-helical elements and three loops (D, anti-codon, and T loops). Lineage: Eukaryota; Metazoa; Arthropoda; Arachnida; Araneae; Eresidae. The record is from Rfam by way of RNAcentral.